Molecule: long non-coding RNA, 4683 nt
Filed under: Equus caballus (horse)
Lineage: Eukaryota; Metazoa; Chordata; Mammalia; Perissodactyla; Equidae
Description: lncRNA (ENSECAG00000057142.1)
Source: RNAcentral
AUGUUAGAUAUAAUAUCUUUGGGGGAAGUGCAAUUUAUUUUCAUUAUCCCACCAACAGAAGGAAAGUUGUCUCAGGUGAGAGUCAGUGAGUAUUUCAAGGAUCUCUCUUAGGCUAUAGUCUAAAGUAGGCUGGUUGGUUUCUUUGUUUAACAUCCAAAUGGAGAUUUUUUGUAACAAUUUAAGUGUUUAAUUUAAAAUGAAGUGUUUUGGGGUUUCUUUGUGUGUGUGUGUGAUAGUGCUUAUAUCCUGUGAGAGGAAAAAGUGUGAGAGAGAGGUGAGGGGGGAGUGUGUGUGUGUGUGAGUGAGAUGUGACUUGGUAAGUCUGUCUGUGUAUGUUUACUUUUUGAAUUGUAGUUCCAAACUACAUAUAUUACUGUCUCCUGGUGCUUCAGAUAAAUCCUUGAGCCUGUAGCCCUUCCGUUUCUACUACUGUGUUAAACUCGUGUUGAGUGGAAAUAUUGAUCUACUUGUAGUUUGUAGUCAGUUUUACUUGGUAUUUGCAUUUCUUUUCUUUAGUGGGAUUAAAAACAGUGUUUACCAACUAGCAGUUGGUAUGCUCUAAACAUUUGGCCUAAGAAAUUUGUAAAUUCAUUGUUGAGCUCAUUAUCUCAUGAUUUCGUUGCUGUCAGGAGCUGAUAGCUAAAAGGGAGCUCUUUGCAAACUGCGCCCGUGAGCAAAGACCAUGUGGGGCUGGCGGAUCCUGUUAGUACUGAAGUGUGCUGCUCUACUGCACUAUCACUUUGAUGGGGCGCUUUCUGCACUCCUGCUUCGGAAGUGCCAUUUUUAUAAUUAUACGGGGGGAGUUCCCCAGGCCAUGUCCAGGAAGUCCCUUCGUUCUGUUGACGUGGUCAGGAUAAGGGCUGCCUUUGCUGUGGCAUCUCAGUUCCUCACGGUAGUGCGUUAGGUUUUUAGAGAACUGUGUUAGCUGCCUGGGUCCAUUGGGGUUCCAUUUGGUGGCUUCCUACUUCAGUGUACCAAACCGGGGAUCCCACAGCAUUUUCUAAGGAACGCUAAAGACACUGCAGUAUUACCUUCCAGAAUGUCGGCUUUCUUGAUUCAAGAGGAGGCCUCCUGUGGUCAGAUGAAGACAGUUGAUUAUCUAGGGCAAGAAUGAGGUGGCGCUUUCACUGCAUCAAUUUAAAAGGUGCUGGAACCGCCUUAAAAAGCACCUGGUGGAAGGGCAGGGCAAGGCUGCUCUUGGCCAGGGGCUGCCCCUCGAGGUUGUGAGCCUUCGGGGAGGCAGCGAGAGAAGAGACUCUCUCUGCACAGAAGAGCCUGCCCUGGGUUUCAUCAACAAAUGUUCAUCAAGCGCUACUUAGGAUUCUGCUUGGAUUUGUGGGGAGCUCAGCAGCGAGGUGGAUGUAGUCCUGCCCUCCCUCUAGACUACAGACUCCUCGUGGGCACGGCUCUGUUUUACUCACCUGCUAAUGCCAGCGCUUGGCACACAGGAGGCAGUCAGGAAAUGUCUGACCAGUGAAUACAGGAUGCAUGUGAUCAGAGCGAUAUUCUGCAUGGGAUUGAAAAGCAGUCUCCUAGAGUGAGGCAUUUUGCUGGAUUUUAAAUGAAAAACUUUGUACACAGAUGGGCUGGCCUCCUAAUAGAGAGUGGGAAAUUAGUACAAAAUAAAAAAUGCCAAGUGCCUGCCAUGGAGGACACCCAGCCCCGUGGUCUCCGGAUGCUCUGUGGGAGUUUUGAGACCCUGCCCUCCGCACACCUAAUAACACUGAUCACAUUUAGUGUUGGAUUUAUUUAUUGCUCUUUAUAUGGGGCUCAGAGUCCUUUCCGGAAAGGACUGUUUUGAUCCUCACGUCUCUGUGCUGAGUGCAGUGCUCUCCGCUGGACCGAGCACGGGCUCUGAGGCCCAGGAGACACAGCUUCACUUCCCCCUGCAGAUGUGAGUGGAAGCCAAAAGCCGAAUCCGGGUCUUUGGAUUAUCAUUUCACUGUUCAGCCUGUUAGACUUUCACUUAAUUUUCUUAGACAUUCAGUAGUUGCAUUUAUGUGACACGUGAGGAGCUCAGCGAGGACCCUGUGUUCUUCGGUCUGGUGCACACAGUUUAGGAAAGUUUGUUCUUUUCAGCUCUGUUAUUGAAGUUCUCUAAGUGAUUGGAUUUUUAAGCUCCUUCCCUUUCUCGUGAAAUCAGAUAUCUAAUAAAUAAAGCACAUUGCAUAAUUAUCUAGUGAGAAAAGUCUGUUGCCUUCUCUUUUUUAUUUUGAGAUUAAAAACUAAACUGUUUAAAUUGCUACUCAACUGAAGUUUGAGCUCAUUAUCCUUUUUUAUAUUGAUGUCCUCAUGGCCCAACCAAGGUGUCGUAAAUCCUUAAAUCACUGUGGUUUGAAUUAGAGAAGGUGCGGUGGGAGAGAUGACUGCCCAGAGUCUGGGCACACGCUGCAGAGGAUGAAGUGGAGAAAGAUGAGCCGUUUCCUAGGAUCCAUGUAAAUAAAUGGCCGCUGCGAAGAAUUCACAUCCUUAGUACAUGUGGGUUCAUCUUGCUUUCUGGUUGGUGAAUUAUCUUUAUUAGAACUUUAUUUUUAGCAUUUCCAUACAAAUCGUAGGUUUUGAAGAACCUUAAUUGUCUUGUUCUUACUCAUCAGUUACACAUAAGGUGGACCUUAGAAGCUUGGGGUAAAUUUUCUCAAGUUGAACCAGUGAGCUUGGUUUGACUGUGACUCUGCGCAGCCCGCCUUGUCGUGUUUCCUGUUUAAUUGGAGGAGACUUACAUGCGCUUAUUCCCUUGUCCUUUGUGUUUAUAGGAAAAACUCUGUUCUCACUACCUCAUUAUGUCGUGUUGUGCUUGAUCCCCUGCCAGUUUAGAAGAAUUCAACACAUUCUGUCCUUUAACAAAAGCCUGGCAGCAAGCAGUAAGCGGCCUUGAGGAAUACAAUUCUCUGAGGCGUGUUUUCCAUUUUACUACUUUUUUUUUAAUAGGCACUUUUAAUCAGGAGGAACAAUAAUUCUCCUCGAGCUGCUGCGAAGUGAUUACUUGAAACUCAACUUGAACUUUAAAGAGUCUUUAAAAGGCUAUGUUUUCAUAAUGUAGGAAAGCAGUGCAUUUAAACACCUCUGCUGUGUAAAAUCGAGGGCUUGAUUUCCAUCCUUGUCAGGAUCAGACAGGAGAAUUUGUCCAUCAGUAAUCUGACCCAGUGUUUGGGAUUUAGACGCUUGGGGCUACUAUUUUUCAUUUUUUAUAAGGUGCUAUUGUGAGCAGUUUAAGGAUCUAGUAGGUGUAUUUUCAUGAAUGUUUCCCAGGAAUAUGACUAGAUUCCUCUUCUCUUCUAGUUCUGAUAACCUGGGUUUAAAAUGAAACCCUGAAGGUACUUCCUGAGGGCAGGGAGGAGGCUGACCGAACACACACAAGUGCAUCAGACUUAAACGCCUGAGUGGUCAGGUUCCCUCUGUGUGUCAGUGAGGCGUCCCCGACGCCCUCCUGGACGUGCCCUCUCUGCCCGGUGUGCCCGGCUCUGUCCUCCCAGCGUCUGUCCGCUGGCCUGGGAGCUGUGAGCCCCGCCACUUCUUGUAGACAGACCCUCCCUUCCGGGGGAGAUUUCUCAUAGGAAUUACCCAGCACCCCUGGUGCCCCCAAAGAGUCAUGCCCAAAAACCCUAGCAUCCUAGGAGUGACUUACGUACCAGGAAAAACCUAAAAACUUGACUGUCCUGACACAUUGACGAGAUUUCAUUUUUACGCUUGUGCUUUUUAGAGGAAAGGGCUUGCUCCUGACAGUAGAAUGCAGACUUUCUCCUCAGAUGACAGGAUGUCAGCAACGUGUGGAUCUGGCAGGAGGCCAAGAGACCUUUUUUUAAGUAAUUUCCAAGAGAACCAAGGUUUACCCCCUUAAAGCCCCAAACUUUCUUAUUUCCAUUCUUUUGAGGAAAACAUCUGUAAACAUUUUACGUACUUUCCCGAGCGAACCUAGUAGUUAGGAGCAUGUGUAGGCUGUGGUGCCAGGUGCCUGUGGUUUGAAGACUUCCACCGCAACUGCUUUGUGACCUUCUGUGACCUUCAGAAGCCCUUUAACUCUGCGGCUCGGUUUCUUACCUGGAGGAGGAAGGUAGCGGGCAUUUCCCUCUUAGGACUGCUGGGAGGACGCAGUGACAGAACCGAGGUGAGCCUUGGGAUGGCUGGGGCCUCGCACACAAAUGGUGGUGGGUACGACCGUAGCUGCUGUUGCCACUCAUCGCAGCUCUGGUCACAGACCAGGUCUGCUCCUGGCGGGCGGGGGCUACCCUUGAGAAUCCCUGGCCUGAUGCUUUCUUCACACUCAGGUCUGCCGCCGCGUGAUAGACAAGUGAUGUCUAUCUGUGUUGAUAAAGAGAGUUACUUUCUCGGCCCCUGCCACCACUCUUCUACUUCUCUAACGUUUCAUUCAAGAGGAUUCUGGAUAGCUGAAACAUCCCAAAAUAUGUAGUUAGAGUAUUUAGAGCUGUUGUGAAUAACCCCCAGUUCAUAAUUCACCUAAUGAAGUCCUCUAAUAAUUCUUAAAACUCUUUACCAAAGUUGAAUUUUUCUUUUUUCCCUCAAAUAGCAAAAGUAGCAGACUACACUGGUCAAAUGAACUGGAUAUUUUCUAGAUCUCUGUUUGAGAUCAGUAGACCUAAACUAUGCUUUCUUAAUUUGGAUGUUAUGAGAAACUUAAAAACAAGCAAACAAAGAUAGUUUGUGUUACAGGUACAUGUGUGUAUG